Molecule: ribosomal RNA, 466 nt
Filed under: uncultured bacterium
Lineage: Bacteria
Description: partial 16S ribosomal RNA
Rfam family: Bacterial small subunit ribosomal RNA
Source: RNAcentral
AUUGAACGCUGGCGGCAUGCCUUACACAUGCAAGUCGAACGGCAGCACGGGUGCUUGCACCUGGUGGCGAGUGGCGAACGGGUGAGUAAUACAUCGGAACAUGUCCUGUAGUGGGGGAUAGCCCGGCGAAAGCCGGAUUAAUACCGCAUACGAUCUACGGAUGAAAGCGGGGGACCUUCGGGCCUCGCGCUAUAGGGUUGGCCGAUGGCUGAUUAGCUAGUUGGUGGGGUAAAGGCCUACCAAGGCGACGAUCAGUAGCUGGUCUGAGAGGACGACCAGCCACACUGGGACUGAGACACGGCCCAGACUCCUACGGGAGGCAGCAGUGGGGAAUAUUGCACAAUGGGCGGAAGCCUGAUGCAGCAACGCCGCGUGCGGGAUGACGGCCUUCGGGUUGUAAACCGCUUUCGCCUGUGACGAAGCGUGAGUGACGGUAAUGGGUAAAGAAGCACCGGCUAACUACGUG